Molecule: ribosomal RNA, 253 nt
Filed under: uncultured bacterium
Lineage: Bacteria
Description: partial 16S ribosomal RNA
Rfam family: Bacterial small subunit ribosomal RNA
Source: RNAcentral
UACGUAGGGGGCUAGCGUUGUCCGGAUUUAUUGGGCGUAAAGAGCGUGUAGGCGGCCAGUUAGGUCUGGUGUGAAAACUCGAGGCUUAACCUCGAGAUGUCAUCGGAAACCAUUUGGCUAGAGUCCGGAAGAGGAGAGUGGAAUUCCUGGUGUAGCGGUGAAAUGCGCAGAUAUCAGGAAGAACACCAAUGGCGAAAGCAGCUCUCUGGGACGGUACUGACGCUGAGACGCGAAAGCGUGGGGAGCGAACAGG